RNAcentral lists this transfer RNA (64 nucleotides) under Odontotermes sp. E TB-2017. RNAcentral describes it as "tRNA-Ala". Lineage: Eukaryota; Metazoa; Arthropoda; Insecta; Blattodea; Termitidae. The record is from RNAcentral.
GGGACUAUAGUUAAUAAUAACAUUUGAGUUGCAUUCAAAAAGUACCACAAAAUGGUUAGCCUCA